RNAcentral lists this ribosomal RNA (554 nucleotides) under uncultured bacterium. RNAcentral describes it as "partial 16S ribosomal RNA". It matches the Rfam family "Bacterial small subunit ribosomal RNA", at positions 355 to 900 of the family's 1533-position model. The record is from RNAcentral.
UAGGGAAUCUUCGGCAAUGGGGGCAACCCUGACCGAGCAACGCCGCGUGAGUGAAGAAGGUUUUCGGAUCGUAAAGCUCUGUUGUAAGUCAAGAACGGGUGUGAGAGUGGAAAGUUCACACUGUGACGGUAGCUUACCAGAAAGGGACGGCUAACUACGUGCCAGCAGCCGCGGUAAUACGUAGGUCCCGAGCGUUGUCCGGAUUUAUUGGGCGUAAAGCGAGCGCAGGCGGUUUGAUAAGUCUGAAGUUAAAGGCUGUGGCUCAACCAUAGUUCGCUUUGGAAACUGUCAAACUUGAGUGCAGAAGGGGAGAGUGGAAUUCCAUGUGUAGCGGUGAAAUGCGUAGAUAUAUGGAGGAACACCGGUGGCGAAAGCGGCUCUCUGGUCUGUAACUGACGCUGAGGCUCGAAAGCGUGGGGAGCGAACAGGAUUAGAUACCCUGGUAGUCCACGCCGUAAACGAUGAGUGCUAGGUGUUGGAUCCCUUCCGGGAUUCAGUGCCGAAGCUAACGCAUUAAGCACUCCGCCUGGGGAGUACGACCGCAAGGUUGAAAC